UACGAAUGGGGCAAGCGUUGUUCGGAAUCACUGGGCUUAAAGCGUGCGCAGGCGGUCUUGCAAGUCAGGAGUGAAAUCCCGGGGCUUAACCCCGGAAUUGCUUUUGAAACUGCAAGACUAGAAUAUGGGAGAGGUUAGCAGAAUUCCGAGUGUAGAGGUGAAAUUCGCAGAUAUUCGGAGGAAUACCAGUGGCGAAGGCGGCUAACUGGACCAUUAUUGACGCUCAGGCACGAAAGCGUGGGGAGCAAACGGG
Molecule: ribosomal RNA, 253 nt
Filed under: uncultured bacterium
Lineage: Bacteria
Description: partial 16S ribosomal RNA
Rfam family: Bacterial small subunit ribosomal RNA
Source: RNAcentral